Molecule: ribosomal RNA, 141 nt
Filed under: Staphylococcus haemolyticus
Lineage: Bacteria; Bacillati; Bacillota; Bacilli; Caryophanales; Staphylococcaceae
Also listed under: 1 other name
Description: partial 23S ribosomal RNA
Rfam family: Bacterial large subunit ribosomal RNA
Source: RNAcentral
UAAGCAUGAAGCCCCCCUCAAGAUGAGAUUUCCCAACUUCGGUUAUAAGAUCCCUCAAAGAUGAUGAGGUUAAUAGGUUCGAGGUGGAAGCGUGGUGACACGUGGAGCUGACGAAUACUAAUCGAUCGAAGACUUAAUCAA